AACGAACGCUGGCGGCAUGCCUAACACAUGCAAGUCGAACGAGACCUUCGGGUCUAGUGGCGCACGGGUGCGUAACGCGUGGGAACCUGCCUUUAGGUUCGGAAUAACUCAGAGAAAUUUGAGCUAAUACCGGAUGAUGUCUUCGGACCAAAGAUUUAUCGCCUUUAGAUGGGCCCGCGUUGGAUUAGCUAGUUGGUGGGGUAAAGGCCUACCAAGGCGACGAUCCAUAGCUGGUCUGAGAGGAUGAUCAGCCACACUGGGACUGAGACACGGCCCAGACUCCUACGGGAGGCAGCAGUGGGGAAUAUUGGACAAUGGGCGAAAGCCUGAUCCAGCACUGCCGCGUGAGUGAUGAAGGCCUUAGGGUUGUAAAGCUCUUUUACCCGAGAUGAUAAUGACAGUAUCGGGAGAAUAAGCUCCGGCUAACUCCGUG
RNAcentral lists this ribosomal RNA (433 nucleotides) under uncultured bacterium. RNAcentral describes it as "partial 16S ribosomal RNA". It matches the Rfam family "Bacterial small subunit ribosomal RNA", at positions 29 to 507 of the family's 1533-position model. The record is from RNAcentral.